Molecule: ribosomal RNA, 429 nt
Filed under: Chloroflexota bacterium
Lineage: Bacteria; Bacillati; Chloroflexota
Description: Chloroflexi bacterium partial 16S ribosomal RNA
Rfam family: Bacterial small subunit ribosomal RNA
Source: RNAcentral
UGGGGAAUAUUGCACAAUGGGCGCAAGCCUGAUGCAGCCAUGCCGCGUGUGUGAAGAAGGCCUUCGGGUUGUAAAGCACUUUCAGCGGGGAGGAAGGCGUUAAGGUUAAUAACCUUGGCGAUUGACGUUACCCGCAGAAGAAGCACCGGCUAACUCCGUGCCAGCAGCCGCGGUAAUACGGAGGGUGCAAGCGUUAAUCGGAAUUACUGGGCGUAAAGCGCACGCAGGCGGUCUGUCAAGUCGCAUGUGAAAUCCCCGGGCUCAACCUGGGAACUGCAUUCGAAACUGGCAGGCUAGAGUCUUGUAGAGGGGGGUAGAAUUCCAGGUGUAGCGGUGAAAUGCGUAGAGAUCUGGAGGAAUACCGGUGGCGAAGGCGGCCCCCUGGACAAAGACUGACGCUCAGGUGCGAAAGCGUGGGGAGCAAACAGG